Molecule: long non-coding RNA, 3056 nt
Organism: Pan troglodytes (chimpanzee)
Lineage: Eukaryota; Metazoa; Chordata; Mammalia; Primates; Hominidae
Gene: TESHL
Exons: 6
Source: RefSeq, a predicted model, not a curated record
GGGGGAAUUCUUCCAACAGCCUCAGAAUGUCCGUUUUUCCCCAUUGGGCUUAAGAGGGAAGUUGAGAGAGGGCUUCCGGUAAGAGGCAGGUAGUAGGGUUAGUUCCUGCUGAUCAACAGAGCAAAAUAAACAAGAAGCAGGGGAUUUGGGAACUUCUUUCACAAAGGGCUGAAAGAACACAUGGAGGAAAAACAUGAAACUUCCAAGGUGAGUACAGUCCUAUGAGCAAAAACUGCAGACAUCUUUGAGCGAUAGAAGAGACAACUGGGCCUGGGGGCCAGUUCAGUGCGGACCUACAUUUCAACCACCAUGAUGAAGGUGAAGCAAGAUAACUCAGUUGGAACUUCGGAUCCUCCUAGCCGAUCAGAAGACUAGAGAGGAAAAACAAACUUAGAUGACUCCUCCUCCAGCAUAUCUAAGGGGGACAAAAGCCAUACUGGCCAUGGGGAGACCCUGGAUGAGUGUUGAUACCAAGCUGACCUGAAUUCCAGGCUCAAGUUGUAGAUGAGAGCUGUAUGUGGUGCCCUGUGGAUGGUGCAGGUGAGACGUCCAAAGACAGCAUCGCUCACACUGCUCAGGAUGGAUGAGGUACUGAAGGAGGCCAGAUUGGAGGAGCCAGCCUGGGCAGGGCUGUGGCUGCUUCAGGGCAAGUUCUGGAGACUGUGAAGUCCAAGAUCAAGGCCCCAGAAGAUUUGGUGUCUAGCAGAUCCGGUCUCUGCUUCCAAAAUGGUGUCUUGAAUGCUGUGUCCUCUGGAUGAGAUGAACACUGAGUCAUCAUAUGGGAGAAGAUACUCAGCACAGCCAUGGUAAAACCUGUCUCUUUCGUGUGGAUCUUGAUGCCCUGCUCACCUUAGAGGCAUAUAACUUGAAGGGUGAAAUUGGUACCUGGACCACUCAUUCUACACAAUCACCAGUCUACGGUGUAAGGGGCUUUUACUCCACAGACAUUUACAGAACAGUGGCUGUCAUCCUGGAUGAAUGUGGGAAACUAUAAAUACAGUCUGGGUAUAGGGUAGACAUUCAAUAAAUCCUGAGUUAGUAGGGAGGAUACUAUCCCAGCCUGAGAAGCCCUGUUGUGAGCCAUGUGGUUGAGACAGAGCUGUUAAUGGUUCUGUCUUCAGGGAAAUUAUGCUCCAUUAGGAACUGAGACCCUAGCAGCUAUAAUAUCAUUGCAUUCUUAGAAAGUGAGGACUUCUGGAAGGGCAUGCACAGUGAGCCAGGAAUUGAGAGGUGAUAAAGCCUAUUAAUUUCUGCCUGGGUUAAUUAGGAAAAGAUCCUUGGAGCUGGGUUUUAACAUUUGGGAGGAAUUUCAAAGAGAAAGGUGAUAGUGAGAAACAGAAGAGGCCUCUUUCCAGAAGGGAGCCUCCUUUUGGUCUUUGGCCUAGUUCCCUUCCAACCAAAACCAUGGUAGGUCAAGUUGGCCUAGAAAGAGAAGGUGCUUUCUAGUCUCUGGGAGUCUUGGGGGUCUCACCCAUUUGUUUUCCAUCUGCUCAGUAGGGGCGAGAGUCGUCUGUGGUGUGUACUGGGAGAUAGAAAAGAUGGGCCUGGGAGUGUCCUCUGAGCUCCACAAUGUUUUGAGUUCCUAUGUUUUUGUUGAGGAAACUGGGGCAUGGAAAAUGGGCUCCUUUUAAGCACAAAAAGUCUUAAAAAUGGAAUUUACUUAGUUAAAAUGCAAUCUAAAAGAAAUAAGAAUGAGGCAUCUCCUUUUUCCAAGUCAUUGCUUUUCCCCCACACCUGUCUCCACCUCACAGGGCACCUCCACCCUUGGCCUUGCAACGCGCCAGGCUGGGCAUCAAGCCAGCCUUUCUUCGAUGAAAUCGAGGCUGCCAGAUCACCCCGCCCACUACUGUUCCGUUAGCCUGAGGUCCCACCCUCCCCUCUCCGGGGAGACACAAAAGGCUUCUGUGACUCAAGCAAAAGCUCACAAUCCUUCUCUUUCUUUCUAGCAACACAGAGUGAGGCUGUGGGGUGGAUUUCUCGGUGGUAACCCUUGCCCGACUUGCUAUGCAGUGACCGGUGUGUAGGUUGCUCCUUCUCUGCUCCUGGGGCAACUCUGUAGACCUACACACUUACUGUCCUCCAUGAUAGACCCAUUUGCAGAGAUUUCAAGGGUCCCCGUUUGGUUCCAGCUAAACUUGAGAAGGGUCAGGGUGGUCUGGGGAGGAACUGAUGUUUAUCAAGUACCCAGGAUAUACUGGAUAUGAUGUGAAUUGUUUUGUACGUGGAUUCCAUGUAAAUCUGCAUGUUGAUCCUAGAAGGUGUUCUUAACUCAAUUUUACAGAGCAAAUGACAGCAAUCGGAGAAGCUAGAUAACUUGUUCAAGGUUAUGUAACUGCUAAGUUAUUGUUGUAAGAUUUGAGUCUAGAACAGGCUGUUGGGAAAGCCUGAGUUUUUCUGAUAUGGUUUGUUACUUAGGGUUUGAAUCAGGCUGUUGGGUUUUUCUGUUAUAGUUUGUUACUUAGGGUUUGAAUCAACUGACCCUGUCUCUAUCAGAUCAAGAGGUAUGAGAAACAUCGUCUGUCUUCUCCUCCUUGUCUUCUACCCCUAAGCAUCCUAGGUCUGCUAUCAAAACUCCCGUUCACUUCAGACAAUGACGUAGUCUGGUUUUGUGGGUAGCGAGAUGGGGGAGGUGGGGGAGCAGCAUUUGUGGGGGUGGAGGGAGGGCAAUAGAGUACAGAAGAACAGAUUUCUAGUUUUGCCUCUGUCACUAACUGAGCCAUGUUGAGUGCAUCUUUCCCAAUCUCCAGGCUUCAUUUUUUCUGCCUGUAAAACACAGAUGCAUAACUUAGUUGUUAAGCACACAGACAAAAGACAGACUGGCUCUACCCAAACUCUGCUGCUCACUAGCCCUGUGACCUUGGAAACAUUUCUCAUCUCUAAAAUAGAGAUCAUCACUUCAUGGGACUGUGAUGAGAGUGAAAGAAGUUAAUACACGUAACACUCUUAGGAGAGUAUCUGGUGUAGGUGUUUUACGAGUAUUGCUGUCGUUAUUCUUCUUAAACGUGUAAUUAAUGAAAUUCUAGUAAUUUCAAAUAAAUAUAUGGGAAAUAACACAG